Small nuclear RNA from Dermacentor albipictus, 188 nucleotides. RefSeq annotates it as U2 spliceosomal RNA. NCBI's taxonomy places the organism in Eukaryota, Metazoa, Arthropoda, Arachnida, Ixodida, Ixodidae. The record is from RefSeq and is a predicted model, not a curated record.
AUAGCAAGCGCUUUGUACGCCGACAAUGUGUGGUAUCUGUUCCCAUCAGCCUAAUAUCUAGUACGGGUUCUAUUUGGACCCUAUAUAUUAAACUUACUUUUGCAAGUUGGCGGAGUGCUUGAAGCCUGCUUCAUCUCCGCUGUGGGUCUGCCCGUUAUUGCACUACCUCCGGUAUCGACCCACGGUUU